Long non-coding RNA from Pipistrellus kuhlii (Kuhl's pipistrelle), 431 nucleotides. RefSeq lists it as uncharacterized. Lineage: Eukaryota; Metazoa; Chordata; Mammalia; Chiroptera; Vespertilionidae. The record is from RefSeq and is a predicted model, not a curated record. The transcript has 2 exons.
AGAUAAUUGCGGUAAUUCUGGAGCUGGUUGGCAUGGCAACUAUCAUGGACCCAGACAUGAGACACACAAGGAAUCCCACUGGCAAGGCACAGGAAGUACUUCCGGGUUCGACAAUGCUGAUCCGCUAUUAGGAGACACUGAUUAACCCAAGACACCAACUUCUCUUCCUUGUGCACAGUAAAAACUCUAUUUCAUACAACCACCUUUGGCCGUUCCCCGUUCCUGAAAUCUCCGGCUACUUCCCUCUGGGGCCUCUCUCAGCACAGCGGUGGCCCCAUCACUGCGCCCGGAAGCUUCACAAAGAAACUCCUCACCUGGGCUUCAUUGAAGUCUUCAAGAAUAUAGCCAGCUCCGGCUCGAAGCUGGGAUUCUGUGUACUGCUUGUUGAAAGGAGGGAUUUCUAAAAAUUCUAUAUAAAAAAAGAAAGACAA